RNAcentral lists this ribosomal RNA (157 nucleotides) under uncultured bacterium. RNAcentral describes it as "partial 16S rRNA". It matches the Rfam family "Bacterial small subunit ribosomal RNA", at positions 357 to 511 of the family's 1533-position model. The record is from RNAcentral.
AGGAAUAUUGGACAAUGGGUUAGCGCCUGAUCCAGCCAUCCCGCGUGAAGGAUUAAGGACCUAUGGUUUGUAAACUUCUUUUGUACAGGGAUAAACCUACUCUCGUGAGAGUAGCUGAAGGUACUGUACGAAUAAGCACCGGCUAACUCCGUGCCAG